Molecule: ribosomal RNA, 25 nt
Filed under: Saccharum officinarum (sugarcane)
Lineage: Eukaryota; Viridiplantae; Streptophyta; Magnoliopsida; Poales; Poaceae
Also listed under: 5 other names
Source: RNAcentral
UGGGAAGUCCUCGUGUUGCAUUCCC